Molecule: ribosomal RNA, 253 nt
Filed under: uncultured bacterium
Lineage: Bacteria
Description: partial 16S ribosomal RNA
Rfam family: Bacterial small subunit ribosomal RNA
Source: RNAcentral
GACGUAGGGCGCGAGCGUUGUCCGGAUUUAUUGGGCGUAAAGAGCUCGUAGGCGGUUUGUCGCGUCUGCCGUGAAAGUCCGGGGCUCAACUCCGGAUCUGCGGUGGGUACGGGCAGACUAGAGUGAUGUAGGGGAGACUGGAAUUCCUGGUGUAGCGGUGAAAUGCGCAGAUAUCAGGAGGAACACCGAUGGCGAAGGCAGAUCUCUGGGCCGUAACUGACGCUGAGGAGCGAAAGCGUGGGGAGCGAACAGG